GGUAGCGAAAUUCCUUGUCGGGUAAGUUCCGACCUGCACGAAUGGCGUAACGACUUCCCCGCUGUCUCCAACAUAGACUCAGCGAAAUUGAAUUACCUGUCAAGAUGCAGGUUUCCCGCGGUUAGACGGAAAGACCCCGUGCACCUUUACUACAACUUCACACUGGCAUUAGGCCGAAUAUGUGCAGGAUAGGUGGUGGGCUUUGAAGCGUGGACGCCAGUCUGCGUGGAGCCUCCCUUGAGAUACCACCCUUAUUCUGCUUGAUGUCUAACCGCGGUCCGUUAUCCGGAUCCGGGACCCUGUGUGGUGGGUAGUUUGACUGGGGCGGUCUCCUCCCAAAGCGUAACGGAGGAGCACGAAGGUUGGCUAAUCCUGGUCGGACAUCAGGAGGUUAGUGCAAUGGCAUAAGCCAGCUUAACUGCGAGACAGACACGUCGAGCAGGUACGAAAGUAGGUCAUAGUGAUCCGGUGGUUCUGAAUGGAAGGGCCAUCGCUCAACGGAUAAAAGGUACUCCGGGGAUAACAGGCUGAUACCGCCCAAGAGUUCAUAUCGACGGCGGUGUUUGGCACCUCGAUGUCGGCUCAUCACAUCCUGGGGCUGAAGUCGGUCCCAAGGGUAUGGCUGUUCGCCAUUUAAAGUGGUACGCGAGCUGGGUUUAGAACGUCGUGAGACAGUUCGGUCCCUAUCUGGUGUGGGCGUUGGAUGAUUGAUGGGAGCUGCUCCUAGUACGAGAGGACCGGAGUGGACGAACCGCUGGUGUUCGGGUUGUCAUGCCAAUGGCAUUGCCCGGUAGCUACGUUCGGAAUCGAUAACCGCUGAAAGCAUCUAAGCGGGAAGCGAGCCCAGAGAUGAGUCAUCCCAGACAGUUUAACUGUCCUGAAGGGUUGUUGUAGACUACAACGUUGAUAGGCAGGGUGUGGAAGCGUCGUAAGGCGUUAAGCUAACCUGUACUAAUUGCCCGUGCGGCUUAACC
RNAcentral lists this ribosomal RNA (974 nucleotides) under Proboscia inermis. RNAcentral describes it as "partial Bacterial large subunit ribosomal RNA". It matches the Rfam family "Bacterial large subunit ribosomal RNA", at positions 1955 to 2925 of the family's 2925-position model. Lineage: Eukaryota; Bacillariophyta; Melosirophyceae; Probosciales; Probosciaceae. The record is from RNAcentral.